AGCAGCCGCGGUAAUUCCAGCUCCAAUAGCGUAUAUUAAAGUUGUUGCAGUUAAAAAGCUCGUAGUUGAAUUUCGGGGAUCAAAUUGUUGGUCGUGCCUCGGUACGCACUGGUAUUAUUGGUUCCUACCUUCUGAAGAACCGCGAUGUCAUUAAUUUGGUGUCGUGGGGAAUCAGGACUGUUACUUUGAAAAAUUGAGUGUUUAAAGCAGGCUUACGCUUGAAUACAUUAGCAUGGAAUAAUGAGAUAGGACGUUUGAUUCUAUUUUGUUGGUUUCUAGGAUUGACGUAAUGAUUAAUAGGGAUAGUUGGGGGCAUUAGUAUUCAAUUGUCAGAGGUGAAAUUCUUGGAUUUAUUGAAGACUAACUACUGCGAAAGCAUUUGCCAAGGAUGUUUUC
Molecule: ribosomal RNA, 396 nt
Filed under: uncultured Glomeromycotina
Lineage: Eukaryota; Fungi; Glomeromycota
Description: SSU rRNA
Rfam family: Eukaryotic small subunit ribosomal RNA
Source: RNAcentral